GUUUAUUGUUUAUAGGAAAGCAGGCAAGAGACAAAUACAAGCACAGUGUUCUGAGGCUAGCCUGUUUGAGCUGAAGAAGAUAUCAGAGAGGAAGAGGAAGAAAUGCCAGGCAAAACUGAAUAUUGUCUACAAUCAUUGUUAAGUGAUGCCUUCAGAGGGAAAGGAUUUCAGAAAAUAAAUGUAAUGAUACAAGAAAAAGACAAAUAUGUCCCUCAGAAGUGUAAGAAACAAUUAUUAAAUCAACUUGACAAAGCUCUAAAAAAGGAAUUGGACAAAAAUGAAUUUUCGAAUGUUUCCCUACUGUUGAAAUGCAUUCAGCUGUACUGUAGAAGUGAUUCUCCGGAAAGUAUAAAACUGCUUCUUCAGCAAGGAUUGAUACC
This is a long non-coding RNA of Pantherophis guttatus, 380 nucleotides long. RefSeq lists it as uncharacterized. The record is from RefSeq and is a predicted model, not a curated record. NCBI's taxonomy places the organism in Eukaryota, Metazoa, Chordata, Lepidosauria, Squamata, Colubridae.